AUUUUCCGGUUGAUCCUGCCGGACCCCACUGCUAUCGGGAUGGGACUAAGACAUGCUAGUUGAGCGCUUUUCAGCCAUGUGGGAAGCGCAGCGCACAGCUCAGUAACACGUGGCUAACCUGCCCUUGGGACGAGACCAACCCCGGGAAACUGGGGCUAAUCCUCGAUAGGUGAAGAACUCUGGAAUGAGUCUUUGCCUAAAAGACGUUGGAUCAUGCUUCCAGCGCCGCCCAAGGAUGGGGCCGCGACCGAUCAGGUUGUUGGUGAGGUAAUGGCCCACCAAGCCUAUAACCGGUGCGGGCCGUGAGGGCGGGAGCCCGGAGAUGGGCACUGAGACAAGGGCCCAGGUCCUACGGGGCGCAGCAGUCGCGAAACCUUUGCAAUACACGAAAGUGUGACAGGGUCAUCCCGAGUGCCGACCGCUGAGGUUGGCUUUUACCCAGUCUAGAAAGCUGGGGGAAUAAGGAGAGGGCAAGUCUGGUGUCAGCCGCCGCGGUAAUACCAGCUCUCCGAGUGGUGUGGACGUUUAUUGGGCCUAAAGCAUCCGUAGCUGGCUGAACAAGUCCCCUGUUAAACCCACCGAUUUAAUCGUUGGUCUGCGGGGGAUACUGCUCGGCUAGGGGACGAGAGAGGCAGACGGUAUUCCCGGGGUAGGGGUGAAAUCCUAUAAUCCCGAGAAGACCACCAGUGGCGAAGGCUGUCUGCUAGAACGCGCCCGACGGUGAGGGAUGAAAGCUGGGGGAGCGAACCGGAUUAGAUACCCGGGUAGUCCCAGCUGUAAACGAUGCAGACUAGGUGGUGGGGACGGCCACGUGCCGUUCUAGUGCCGCAGGGAAGCUGUUAAGUCUGCCGCCUGGGGAGUACGAUCGCAAGAUUAAACUUAAAGGAAUUGGCGGGGGAGCACCACAAGGCAUUCCUUGCGGUUUAAUUGGAGUCAACGCCGGGAAU
RNAcentral lists this ribosomal RNA (947 nucleotides) under uncultured archaeon. Its description in RNAcentral is "bacterial SSU rRNA". It matches the Rfam family "Archaeal small subunit ribosomal RNA", at positions 1 to 925 of the family's 1478-position model. The record is from RNAcentral.